UGGGACUCAACAUCAAUUCCAAGGAUUUAUC
Molecule: non-coding RNA, 31 nt
Filed under: Mus musculus (house mouse)
Lineage: Eukaryota; Metazoa; Chordata; Mammalia; Rodentia; Muridae
Source: RNAcentral